AAUGGCCUAACGGCUGAACCGGCAAUUUGGAAGAAUGUAAUUGUGUUAAAAUUAUGUAUAAUACAAUAUCGUAAAAGAAUAAAGUUCUAAAUAGAUUAUUGAUAAUGACAGUUUUCUGUUUAUAUGUCUUGACCAAAUCUCGUGCCGGCAGUCGCGGUAAUACGUGGAAGACUAGUGUUAUUCAUCUUUAAUAGGUUUAAAGGGCAACUAGACGGUAUUUCUAGCCAAAUAUGGUACGGAUUUACUAGAGUUUAAUAUGAGAAGACAGUAUUUAUGGUGUAGAGUUAAUAUUCUGUGAUACCUUAAGGACUGGUAAUGGCGAAAGCAGUCUUCUAUGUAAAAACUGACGUUGAGUGACGAAGGCCUGGGUAGCGAGAAGGAUUAGAUACCCUAGUAGUCCAGGCAGAAAAUUAUGAAUGUCAUAAAUUAGAUUAAUUUUAGUUUAUAAAUGAAAGUGUAAGCAUUCCACCUCAAGAGUAAUGCGGCAACGCAGGAACUGAAAUCAUUAGACCGUUUCUGAAACCAGUAGUGAAGUAUGUUAUUUAAUUCGAUAAUCCUCGAAAAACCUUACCACAAUUUGAAUUUCACAAGUGCUGCACGGCUGUCUUCAGUUAAUGUCGUGAGAUCUUGGUUUGUUCCAUUAAAUUAACGUAAACCCUUACUUUAUUUUUUUAUAUAAAGUUGCCCGCCUUAAAAUUGGAUAUGGUAAAAGGGACUAAGACAAGUCAUCAUGGCCUUAAUAUUGU
RNAcentral lists this ribosomal RNA (746 nucleotides) under Opegrapha dolomitica. Its description in RNAcentral is "mitochondrial SSU rRNA". It matches the Rfam family "Bacterial small subunit ribosomal RNA", at positions 370 to 1210 of the family's 1533-position model. The record is from RNAcentral. Lineage: Eukaryota; Fungi; Ascomycota; Arthoniomycetes; Arthoniales; Opegraphaceae.